CAGCUCAACUGUGGAACUGCCUUUGAUACUGGUUGUCUUGAGUUACAGUGAAGUAGAUAGAAUAUGUAGUGUAGCGGUGAAAUGCAUAGAUAUUACAUAGAAUACCGAUUGCGAAGGCAGUCUACUAACUGUUAACUGACGCUAAGGGACGAAAGCGUGGGGAGCGAACAGGAUUAGAUACCCUGGUAGUCCACGCCGUAAACGAUGGUCACUAGUUGUKGGGGCAAUUUGCUUCAGUGAUUAAGCGAAAGUGAUAAGUGACCCACCUGGGGAGUACGAUCGCGAGAUUGAAACUCAAAUGAAUUGACGGA
RNAcentral lists this ribosomal RNA (311 nucleotides) under uncultured Flavobacteriaceae bacterium. RNAcentral's name for it is "bacterial SSU rRNA". It matches the Rfam family "Bacterial small subunit ribosomal RNA", at positions 605 to 917 of the family's 1533-position model. Lineage: Bacteria; Pseudomonadati; Bacteroidota; Flavobacteriia; Flavobacteriales; Flavobacteriaceae. The record is from RNAcentral.